CACUUCCUCUGUAAUUUAUCAUUUAUCAAUUGAGAUUGUUGAAGAUAUACUUUAUGGAUGGAAUAUUAUACCUUUUGUUAGACGCUGCAAAUUGUUACUAUGGCAAAACUAAGUAGGUAAGUUAGAAGUAACCAUGGGGGUCUUGGAUGUGUCAUGGGAGGUAGUUGACCUCUCGACAUGCGCAGUAGGGACCAAAUCGCCAAGAUGGCGGACUUUAGUUGACAAUUUUCCUUUCAUUUGACAAUUUUGCCUCCGUAAACACUCUCACAACCAAGCAUGACGAAACCGAAGUCCAAGAAAAAGUCGGAGAAGCCCAAGGAGGCUUCGACACCGACCGAGAGUAAGGUAAACGUGCCCACGGAAAGUCCCGUUGGCCAAACGCCACCAAGCGCCCCACCUAGCGGAAAAGUUGCACCCAAGUCGUGGUUUACCGCCGAGAUACAACUUAUGAUGUACACGUUUGGUGACCACCGCCGUCCGCUGCAGUCGUCGGCCGCGCUGAUCGAAGAAGUCGUCCACAGCCAGAUGACCAGUCUAUUACACCAGGCAGCAGAAGUGACCAUCCAGAGAGGAGCCAGGUUUAUAGGUGUGGAGGACAUCAUCUUCAUCAUGAGGAGGGACAAGAAGAAGCUAAGACGUCUCCUGAGAUAUCUGGACUUUAAGGACCUGAAACAGAAGGUAGUGAAGGGGUCAGGUCUGGAGGAGGGAGGAGAGGUGGAGGUAGAGGACAUCAAACAGCCUGUAGCCAAGAGGAGGAAACUCUGCUAUGAUUUCCUGUCUGCUAUUGACCAAACAGGAGAGCUGUUGUCCCUGUUUGAGGAUGAUGAGAUUGAUGAAGUCAAACAGGAGAGAGCUGAGCGAGCAGACAUGCAGACCCGUAGUAUGGACCAGACACAGUACAUGGAGUAUGUGGAGGCACGGCAGACUACCUUCCAUAAGAAAGCGAGUAAGUUCCGAGACUGGAUGGACCUGGGAACCCUGGAGGUUAAACCCAACCCACUGGCCAUGGAGAUACUCAGUUAUCUGGCUUAUGAAACUGUAGGAACUAUUGUAGACUGUGCACUGCUGAUAAAGAAGGACACAGAGAGAACAGUGAACAACCCCCUCCAGCCCUGUGCCCCUCACCUCUGCUCAGCCCCUGACACCAUCUCUGUCGCCCCCCCUCCACCCCUGCAGAUCAAGUCCCCCUCCUCUCGCCCCAGCAGUCCCAACCAGACCCCCCCUUCCACGCCGACCACCCCUACAGGUCAGUCAGGUAAUGUGACGCCCCUGAUGUUUGGUAGUCAGUUCACGGCCCCUCCCUCCUCAGCCACUCAGAACAGUAACUCUGCCGGCCUGACCCUCCCCACCACCCCACAGACCUCCAUCUUCAACUUCAGCUCUAACAGUGGAGGCAGCGGCAAGUCCAAGAAGAAAAAGAAAAAGAGUGGUUCUUCAGCCCCGGAGCCUGCCUCAGCUGAUGCCAUCCAACCUUCUCACGUACGGGAGGUCAUGAGAAGAUAUGGAGCAAACAUCGGACCUAUGGCACCCUUCGCUGCAUACAACAAGCUUCCAGCACCAACAUUUCUGGCCUGUUGAGAUUUGAGAAGUUUGAUCAAGUGACACCUCGUGCUGCAGUUUGUGAAGUGACUGUAAGAGGGCAUCACUGCAUGGAGUACAACUACUGGUUGUCUAGAUAUCAGUGUACAAGUUACAGGACCAUACUUGUGCGUUUUAUGUUGCAAAGCUAUAUAUAUAUAUAUCUAUAGAAAAAAGUGUCGAGUUUAGAGCAACAAAUGGUAGCUUUAUUUUUACAACAUUUUUUUACAAACAAAGUACAAUAGUAGUGGUUAAGUGACUGUUCAGCAAAUGUUGUCCAAAAGUACUGUUACAUGUAGCUGUAGUAUGAUGUCAAUUAUGCACUGUGAGUUUGCAGAAUUAUCAUCCGUCUAUUUGCUGCCAACUUAUGGCUGUUUACAAAGAUGCUUUAAUCAUGUUUUAAGCUAUUUAUGUGCGAACGAAUUAGUAACAGUGACUUGUCUAUACACAAGGACAAAUAAACUUCAGUCUAUCUAAGAUUAGAAAGUGUAUCUUCUGUUUGUGUUCUAACAAAAACCAUAACAUCAUAACCCUGUACAAAUCAGGUCUCAUUUCUUCAUUACUACCAUCAUACAUGUACUAGAAUAUAUACAUAAACCUUUACUUUGAAGUUACUCCAAAAAAC
This is an RNA transcript of Branchiostoma belcheri (Belcher's lancelet), 2203 nucleotides long. It is a transcript of the gene named transcription initiation protein SPT3 homolog, with no coding region annotated. The transcript is spliced from 13 exons. The record is from RefSeq and is a predicted model, not a curated record. NCBI's taxonomy places the organism in Eukaryota, Metazoa, Chordata, Leptocardii, Amphioxiformes, Branchiostomatidae.